GACGAACGCUGGCGGCGUGCUUAACACAUGCAAGUCGAACGGAAAGGCCCUGCUUUUGUGGGGUGCUCGAGUGGCGAACGGGUGAGUAACACGUGAGUAACCUGCCCUUGACUUUGGGAUAACUUCAGGAAACUGGGGCUAAUACCGGAUAGGAGCUCCUGCUGCAUGGUGGGGGUUGGAAAGUUUCGGCGGUUGGGGAUGGACUCGCGGGUUAUCAGCUUGUUGGUGGGGUAGUGGCUUACCAAGGCUUUGACGGGUAGCCGGCCUGAGAGGGUGACCGGCCACAUUGGUACUGAGAUACGGCCCAGACUCCUACAGGAGACAGCAGUGGGGAAUAUUGCACAAUGGGCGGAAGCCUGAUGCAGCAACGCCGCGUUCGUGAUGACGUCCUUCGGGUUGUAAACCGCUUUCGCCUGUUACGAAGCGUUAGUGACGGUAAUGAGUAAAUAAGCACCGGCUAACUACGUG
RNAcentral lists this ribosomal RNA (468 nucleotides) under uncultured bacterium. Its description in RNAcentral is "partial 16S ribosomal RNA". It matches the Rfam family "Bacterial small subunit ribosomal RNA", at positions 28 to 507 of the family's 1533-position model. The record is from RNAcentral.